CAGCAGUAGCCGCGGUAAUACGGAGGGUGCGAGCGUUAAUCGGAAUUACUGGGCGUAAAGCGUACGCAGGCGGUCUGUUAAGUCUGCUGUGAAAUCCCCGGGCUCAACCUGGGAAUGGCAGUGGAUACUGGCAAGCUAGAGUGUGUCAGAGGAUGGUGGAAUUCCCGGUGUAGCGGUGAAAUGCGUAGAGAUCGGGAGGAACAUCAGUGGCGAAGGCGGCCAUCUGGGACAACACUGACGCUGAGGCACGAAAGCGUGGGGAGCAAACAGGAUUAGAUACCCCGGUAGUCCCUGUCUCUUAUAC
RNAcentral lists this ribosomal RNA (304 nucleotides) under uncultured bacterium. Its description in RNAcentral is "partial 16S ribosomal RNA". It matches the Rfam family "Bacterial small subunit ribosomal RNA", at positions 506 to 807 of the family's 1533-position model. The record is from RNAcentral.